Molecule: ribosomal RNA, 369 nt
Filed under: uncultured Thalassiosira
Lineage: Eukaryota; Bacillariophyta; Thalassiosirophyceae; Thalassiosirales; Thalassiosiraceae
Description: partial 16S ribosomal RNA
Rfam family: Bacterial small subunit ribosomal RNA (bases 1-331)
Source: RNAcentral
AUUUUUUGUCUACCUUUUAAUUUAAGAUAAACUAUACCUAUUAAAAACUUUAAUUUUUUUUAGGGUGAAACUAUUUUUUUAGUUUGUAGUAAUAUUAAAUAAUUUUUUAGUCCUGAAAUACUAAAGAAACAAAAAUUAUAAAUUAAGUAAUUGUUAAAAGAUGGGUUUGUGGAAGAUUAGGUUGUUGGUAGAAAUAACAGUUUACCAAGCCUUUGAUCUUUAGUUGGUCUUAGAGGACGUACAACCACACUGGAACUGAGACAAGGUCCAGGCUAAUUUUUUGGCCAGCAGUGAGGAAUAUUGGACAAUGAACGAAAGUUUGAUCCAGCAAUAUUAUGUGAAUGAUUGACGACUAAUUUUUGGUUGUAA